This 1596-nucleotide long non-coding RNA is filed under the name Marmota monax (woodchuck). The record is from RNAcentral. Lineage: Eukaryota; Metazoa; Chordata; Mammalia; Rodentia; Sciuridae.
AAAAAAAGAACACCAUACAGCCAGUUUGCAGUGGCACAUGCCUGUAAUCCCAGUGACUCAGGAGGCCAAGGCCAAAGGAUUGAGAAGGAUCAGAAGGAUUGCAAGCUCCAGGCCAGACAAAGUAGGAAAACCCUAUCUCAAAACAAAUUAACAAUGGCUGGAGAUGUGCCUCAGUGGUAGAGCACUUGCCUAGCAAGUGAAAGGCCCUUGGUUCAAACCCCAACUAGCACAGGAAGGAUAAAAAAGAAGAAUGCUAAAGAGAGCAGAAACCAAGUAAGUGACCAUCAUAUACAUAUACAUAUUUAUCACAAGAGUGUGUCUGUUAGUCCCUUGUUGCUAAAGUCAGAUGUGGUAGAAUUUUUUAAAAUAAAUAUUCUCCACUGGUGUAACUACAGGUGAUUUUGAUUUUUUAUUAGCCUUCCUUUUAGUGUUUGAACUUUAUACAAUUAAUAUGUAAUACUUUUGUUAUUUGGAAAAACAAAAUAAUUUCAAUGUCGAAAAAAACUUUAAUAAAAACUGGAUUAGGAUAUCAUGUCAUCACAUAGUUUAGAAAUUAUUUUGCUUUAAAAAAAAUGGGGGGGGGAGUACCCGGGAUUGAACUCAGGGGCACUCAACCUGAGCCACGUCCCCAGCCCUAUUUUGUAUUUUAUUUAGAGACAGGGUCUCACUGAGUUGCUUAAAGCCUUGCAGUUGCUGAGACUGGCUGUGAACUCAUGAUCCUCCUGUCUCAGCCUCCUGAGCUGCUGGGAUAAUAGACGUGUGCCACUGUGCCCUGCCUUAAACUUUGUUUUGUAUUUUAUUUUAAUUUAUUUUAUUAUGUGUUGCUAAAGAUGGAACCUAAUGCCUCACACAUGCUAGGCAAGCCCUCUGCCACUGAGCUAUAGCCCCAGCCCUUGCUUUUUUAUUAUCUAUGUUUAAGCAGAGGAAAAGUAACAAAAAGUUCUAAACUUACUUCAGAUUUGACUUCAGAAUGCAUUACAAUGAAAUGGUAACAACUGAAUCUAAAUUCACCUACAUAUUUUUAAUGGCUUUUCAUUUCUUCAGGUAAAUCCAAUAAAUGGAAUGAUAAGUGGUAUCAAUUAGGAAAAUUCUAAUAAUAAUUAAAUAGAUCAGAUUGGCUGUUUUAUACUCCUACAUUAAAAAAAAACCUUAUCCCCAAAUCUAAUGCGUAAUCUUUAUAUUUACCAAUUACUAUUGAUUCAAGUAUUCUUAAAACAGUUGGGCUGAUCACUGUUCAGAUGCCUGUGCUUUCAAUUUCCUAAUGGUGUUUGUGAAUGUUUGUUUCUGGGUCUCUCUGGGUGUGUGAUGUGUUCAUGGUGAGGAUGUGUAUGUGUCUGAGGGAGGCUGUUGGGGAUUUGAGGGUGUCUCUGCUAAUGAUUUUAAUGCUCUUACUCUUUCAAUGAGUACCUUUUCACAGCCUUUUUCCUAUCUGAAUGAUCAUUAUUUCUAAAUUAUUGAGACUCAACUAAUGUUUUCCUCUAAAUGAUCUGCCAAUGUGUGUACUAAAAUUUUUUUGAGUCAAGGAUCUGUAAAAAUCCAAUUCUAAAGUAGAAGGGAAAUAGAAGAUAUUUCUCAGAAAUAUAAAGCAAACUUUAC